Molecule: non-coding RNA, 1576 nt
Organism: Cavia porcellus (domestic guinea pig)
Lineage: Eukaryota; Metazoa; Chordata; Mammalia; Rodentia; Caviidae
Source: the annotation of a RefSeq genome assembly
GAAGACGCCCUACUAUAUUUCUCUUCCUUUCCAGCACAGACACACAGCCUUUGCAAAACAGACUACAAUCAUUUUUCUGGAGCUCAAGUCACCCUUUGUAGGGCAGUCCACGGAGGAGCAGUCAGAGUCAGAAGCUCUUUAUUAAUAAGGAAGAGCUAGGAUGCUACUCGUGACAGUGCUAAUCUCAUGGAUGCAAUUUUCAGAAAUGAGAGGACAACAGAUAAAGCAAAUUCCUCGAUUCUGGCAUGUCUGGGAAGGAGAGAACUUCACUGCGUACUGCAAUUCUUCAGGCACAUUAAACAGCUUACAGUGGUACAAGCAGAAGCCUGGGGGACGCCCAGUCCUCUUGGUGAGACUAAUGACGGGUGGAGAAGUGAAGGAGCAGGACAGACUGAUCACCCGAUUUGGAGAAAGAAGACAGGACGGCUCCCUGCACAUCACAGCCACCCGGGGAACUGACGUAGGAACCUAUUUCUGUGCAGCGACACAGUGCUCCCCAAGCACCAGCUGCCUGUACCCAAACCUCGCCCUGAGAAUCCACAAAGAGCGUCUCAUCCCUAGUGUAGCUCAGAAGCUGGAGAAAGCUAAAGUCACACUGUCAGCAAAGAGACGGUGCACCUCCUCCUCAUGGCAAUAGGGAUGCGUGUAGAAAUUCACGCAACGAGACACGAUAAUUUAAUUCCUAAUAUGCAGCUAUUGGUUUUCUUCUACACAGAUUUUUCGGGAAAUUCCAAUUAAUCCAGGAAGAAUCAGUGGAUUCUGAGGGCAUCUUUCAGUGAUGCCACAGAUCCCCAAGCAGCUUCUUUCAGAUUUCAACUCUACAGGAAAUGUUAAAAUGUUUCUCCUUAAAGAAAUCAUAAAGAUACUGUCACUAAAAGAUUGAAGGGGUAGGUACGUUUAACCUGAUUUAAGCAUUAUUUAGUGUGUAAAUCAAGUGUGUAUCAAAGAUUAUUUGGAGUUUCAUUGAUAUAUACUACUUCCAUGUUUGUAUGUAUGUUUUAUUCUUAAAAUAAAAAAAAGAUUAUAGCUCGCCUGAGAUGGAAUGGUCUCCUAAGCAGCCAGCUCCUUUCUCACCACUCCUUCCCUGAGGUCCUGAUGUGGUGUCUCUCAUGGCCAUUCUCUCCUGGAAGCUGCUUGUCUUACUGGUGCUCCCUGGCCAUUUUAAUAUUUAGGCAAAUAAUUAUCAUGAUGUUAAUUUUGCUUCACUUUGUAUAUUAAAGUGAGCCAUGCAGUUAGACUACAAUAAGUUUGGUAGGGAACUACAGGAGGGUGUGAGUGUCACUGGGGCCCUUUGGAUACUUUCUGAAACAAGUAUUAGAGCACACACACUCCCUGUGCCAGGCAGACACUAGAGGUCAUUUACAACUGAAUGACCAAGUAAAGCUUUUGCAUUUUUUUUCAUGAACUAUUUUUAGUUUUGGAAGCAAUUAUGAGGAAAAUAUGAUAAUACUGGUACUAGUACAAUAUACUAAAAUAACGAAGACAAAACUUUACUAAAUUACUUGUAAGAUUGUAUGAACUGUCAUAUACUACAUAAGGAAAAACAUUCAUACUAAACUACUUGUAAAACUAAAUA